Molecule: ribosomal RNA, 392 nt
Filed under: uncultured bacterium
Lineage: Bacteria
Description: partial 16S ribosomal RNA
Rfam family: Bacterial small subunit ribosomal RNA
Source: RNAcentral
AUACGGAGGACGCGAGCGUUAUCCGGAUUCAUUGGGUUUAAAGGGAGCGUAGGCGGGAGCUUAAGUCAGCGGUUAAAUGGUGCGGCUCAACCGUGCCCUGCCGUUGAAACUGGGUUUCUUGAGAGUGCAAGAGGCGGAUGGAAUUCAUGGUGUAGCGGGGAAAUGCUUAGAUAUCAUGAAGAACUCCGAUUGCGAAGGCAGUCCGCUGGGGCACGUCUGACGCUGAUGCUCGAAGGUGCGGGAAUCAAACAGGAUUAGAUACCCUGGUAGUCCGCACGGUAAACGAUGAUUACCCGCUGUCGGCGGCAGACAGUCGGCGGCCAAGCGAAAGCGAUAAGUAAUCCACCUGGGGAGUACGCCGGCAACGGUGAAACUCAAAUGAAUUGACGGGG